UAUCUGCGCCGCUCGGGGCGCUCCGAGUGUGCGCAGCUGCCAGGCGAGCGUCUAAGGCGCCAGCUCAGGGCUGGCUGGGACCGGGCAGCAGAGUCUGAAACACGUCCUUGGAUUGGAUGCUAGAACCAGCGUUGAAGCCGAUGGCCUUCUGCCACUUAGUUAAUGUGCACCUGGCAGCUUAGGUGGCCGCGGAGAAAGCAACUUUGGCUGCACCAAGGUCCGGCACAAGUCUGGAGAAGCUUCAGCCAGUUCCAGUGAGUUGGGAUAAAUGAAACGUGGAUCUACCAUAGACGUCUGUCCGUCUUACUGGAUAAGCGAGCACCUUUACCGGGGAAGUUAGGCUUUGGUAUCAGGAUGACGCUGGCCUCAUAAAAUGAGUUAGGGAGGAUUCCCUCUCUUUCUAUUGAUUGGAAUAGUUUCAGAAGGAAUGGUACCAGCUACUCCUUGUACCUCUGGUAGAAUUCGGCUGUCAGUCUGUCUGGUCCUGGACUUUUUUUGAUGGCUGGAGUCAGCUGGCAAAUACAGAAGCAGGAAACAUUACACUGAAGCUCAGAAAAUAAUAUCCCCAAAUGAAGGCAUCAGAAAUAAAAGUUCUUCUCUGACUUUUAGACAUUGUAUUAUGAAAAAUUUCCAGCAUACAGAAAAGUUGAAGAACACCCACAUGCCUGCUACUCAGAUUCUACAAUAAACAUUUGCUAUAUUUGUUUUACCUACAUAUCUAGUCAUCCAUCCAUCCAUUCAUAUUAUUUUUAAUGCACGUCUUAUUUUUUAAUGCACUGUCAACUACAGACAUCAGUACUCUUCACCUCCAAACAUUUCAGCAACAUAUCAUUAACGAUAGUCAAAAAUUUGUUUAGAGUUC
RNAcentral lists this long non-coding RNA (862 nucleotides) under Homo sapiens (human). RNAcentral describes it as "long non-coding RNA NONHSAT209169.1". Lineage: Eukaryota; Metazoa; Chordata; Mammalia; Primates; Hominidae. The record is from RNAcentral.